GUGAGAAGCGGUGAAGUCAUGCAUACAGAUGGCAGUGCCGGUGUUGGUGGAAAUGAUGCUUCCUGAACUGUUGUAACGGCAGUCCCAGAGGACUGAGCCACAGUCCAAUAAGAUGUCAUGAAGACUAGACCGAGAGGAGUGCGCAUCAGAUCUCCCUCAAUUAAUCCACCAUUAGAUGCCUGAGAUUCAUGGCUCACUGCCUUUGCUUACUGCGUUGGAGCUAAAAUCUAAUUAGACCCCCUCUCUCUCUCUCUCUCUUUUUCUCUCGGCUUCUCUUUCUCUAUGUCCAUCCCUCCUUAGAUCGAAAGAUAGACGGAUCUUUCCUCACUGAACGCUGUGGUUGGGUAUUUUAGGUGUUCCUCCCUCUCCCUCUCUCUCUCUCUUUCGCUCUCUCUCUCAGUAUCUUUCCUUACAGCCACAUACUCACUCUCAGUCUGUCCCCCUCUCUCCCACUCCUGCUUUCCCUCCCACUCUCUCUCUGUAACUCCUUCGCUCCUCUCAUCCUCCUGUGACUUAGUCUGCUGUGCGCAACAACUUGCAGACCUCUCUCCUCUUCUCCGGCGAGGUGGCAAGCGUGUCCUCAGGCAUGGGAGGGGAUCCUGCACGUUCGGGCACAUGGUCUUACGGCGACGACGGAUCGGCGGCACAACAACCUGAAGGAACGGAGGCACGGCAUCCUCAGCCUUCCCCGUCACUGCCGGCUCAAGGCAGCGGACGAAUGGGCGGCUUUGUGCUCAGCGGGUGCCGCUCUGUAGAGAUCUCUAGGAUUUGGCCUGGAUGUUUGCGAGCGCUUCCGCUCCCUGAGGACGGGCUGGACCGAGGACAGGACGUGUGGUCUGUGAGCUCCCAGAUGCAACCUUUGACGGGGGCCUUGGCUUGUGGUAAAGGGCAUCUUCAAUCAAUUCCCCUAGAGAGAAAACUCUGCUUUGGCCUAUGCCACUGUGAAUGGCUGAAAGUCAGGCGAAGCCCCCUUUUACUAAGGCUCUCUUCGGUGACGGGUAUUCUUGGGUGGAUAAUACGGCUCUCGUUGUUAUUGCUUAAGAAUACGCGUAGUUGAGGAGAGUCAUUGUCGACUGUCUUCGGGGAGAUAACCUCCACUGAUCCCAAAAACCUUCUGUGGCCGUUUAUGUAGCAACUAGACAGCUAAUCAUUUUCACUGUGGUUUGUUUGAUUUCUGCAACAGGAGACAGACAGCUCUUGCUCUCAGUGUAGUGUCUCCACCUACAUUGGCAAAUCGCCACUUUAUGUGCUAUCCAACGAGCGGCGUUUUGCAUUUCACACAACUUGUUUGUUUUUUCCUCUGAGUGUGCGUGCGACGAGAGGUUCAUGGGGAACGGCGUUUAUUUUUGCUCUCUUCGGGGAGUGUUUUAGAGUACACAUGCCUGCUUGCCUGGCUGAUAGGAAUGCAUUUACUGCUCUUUAUUGUUAGUCCUGAGCACCAGCGGGAGCCCCGGACUGCAUGGGGUGUUCACACAGAUUGAUUUUGAGAUGGCAUUAGUCGUACAGUUUUCGCCAUUCAGCUGACAGCGAUGGGAGGCAAAAUGUCCACGGAAUCUAAACAGGCUUUGCUGUGAAAGGGGAGGGGCUUCAAGUCUAAUUACAAAACACAGCUAAAUAGAAGCAGCAUAACAGAUUACAUGAUUGUGUCUGCUGAGCUCAUAGCAUCAGCUGGUUCAUUCUGAUUGUAGCACCGUUUCUCAGGACAAAAACAGAUUGAAUAUCUUUUUUCUCCUAGAUAAAGACACACAUACGCAUAAUGUUCUUUUCCAAACCGCUAAUUACUUUUUAAUGAUGCGCUCAAAUGUCUGAGUUAGCUUGUGCUGGUGAAAGCCAAUGAGGCCCAAGGCGUAUAAAGACGGUCAGUGUUUUUAAAGCAGUCAUAUCUAUAUCUCAGAUUUUAUCAUAGGAAUAUGUUGUUUGUAUAAUAUUUAACCAAACAGCUUUAAUAUAACUGAAUGCAUUUAAAAUGAAUGUGGAAUCUAUUUUUAAUGGCUUGUUUUUAAACUAAAGGACUGGCAAUUUUAAAUAUUCUCUGCUCAGAAAAAAUACUUGUUUUUUAUUUACGAAUCAUAUUGUGUGGGUUUUUAUUUAAUUGAUUUACAGAACUGUUAAGAAACACUUGAUUUUAAAUGCAUAGCUUGCUUCUUUCAUUCUCUGCUGUACGAAGGCCUGGGAGACAUAGAGGCAAAAUGCAAAUUGGCUGCUACUCUGUUUUAGUAAUAUUAGCCAAGAAGUUUGUGAAAAUAACUAGAGGCUUAUUAGAAAUGCUCAUGAAAAGUCCCUAGCCCAAGAAACAAAACAUAUUACUUAUAUUAUUAUGUAAUCUAGUGAUGUAUUACUAAUAUUAUACAUAUCAUAGGGUUGAAAUGUGAAUGAACUACUUCCAUACUCAAGGUAUAUUAUAUUAUAUUAUUUUUUAAUUUAUUAUUGUCAUGAUUGUAAUGUCAUUCUUUGUUACUGAUGCACAUUCAACUUUUUUUUUUUUUUUUUCAGUGUAAUUGUAUUUCACACAAAAGUUAGUGAUUUUACUCAGCACUGAAUGUGCCUUUAUCAUUAAAUCAUGGUAAAUGUUGUAUCAAAUGACUAUAUGAAGCCCUAAAUAAACUCUCUAUAAAACAGUC
Molecule: long non-coding RNA, 2621 nt
Organism: Ctenopharyngodon idella (grass carp)
Lineage: Eukaryota; Metazoa; Chordata; Actinopteri; Cypriniformes; Xenocyprididae
Exons: 3
Source: RefSeq, a predicted model, not a curated record